CUCCCUCAAGACCAACAUACAAAACAGGCCACGACCAAAGUUCAGUUCUGUGUUAAAGACGGAGUAGUAACAUAAUCCUCUUCAGCAGCUAGAAUGUCUUGUCAACGUGUGCUCUUCCUGGUGCUCCUGGUUUUCCUAUCACUUAAUAUUGUGCAGAAUGAGGCUGCAUCAUUUCCCUUCUCUUGCCCCACCCUGAGUGGAGUCUGUCGAAAAGUUUGCCUACCAACAGAGAUGUUCUUUGGACCACUUGGCUGUGGAAAGGGAUUCUUGUGCUGUGUUUCUCAUUUCUUAUGACAACUGAGUAGUUCCUAGAUCAGUUCUGAUCAUUAACACAUGGGACAUAUGUGAAUAAAGACAUCACCACCAUCACA
Oncorhynchus mykiss (rainbow trout) is the source of this 371-nucleotide long non-coding RNA. RefSeq lists it as uncharacterized. The record is from RefSeq and is a predicted model, not a curated record. NCBI's taxonomy places the organism in Eukaryota, Metazoa, Chordata, Actinopteri, Salmoniformes, Salmonidae.